AUAGGAGGGCACCAGAAGUGGAGGGCAGACAAUCCUUGUCCGGUGACAUCAAGUUUAGGGUUUGCACAAUGAGAGACAAGAGGGUUGAUGGCAAGGGUUGGGGGUGGACAGAGGGUUGAUGGGAAGGGUAGGAGCUAGAGAGGGGGGGUGGGUUCUGUCCACUAACGUUGGUUGCAGAUAGAGAGAGAGGGUAGGGUUGAGGGGAACGGGUAUAGAGAGAGAUUGAGGGAGUAAGGGAUAGGGGCUAGAGGUAUGGGUUGAUUUGUCCGGGUCUGCUGCAUCCUUACUAUUCAAAAGAGGACAUGGAAUUGCUCUCUUCCUUUUUUUGGCAACCACGUAUGCCCUCUCUCUCAAAUUCCUUCAUUAGGGGUCUAAGAAUUACAUUUAAGAGGAUCAUGAGGAACAGAAGCACAAAUCAGUUCUCAGGCAUUCCAUACGUAAUGUCAAUGCUUAACUGCCUACCCUCCACUUGACAAGGUUUUACUUCCAGCAGCUGAUAUCAGGAGUUAGUUGCUGUCAUUUGAUGGUAUGUAAUGUGACACUUUUCUGCCAAUGCGUCGUAUAUUGUUAUUUCUUUAUCUUUUGAU
This is a long non-coding RNA of Malus domestica (apple), 587 nucleotides long. RefSeq lists it as uncharacterized. Lineage: Eukaryota; Viridiplantae; Streptophyta; Magnoliopsida; Rosales; Rosaceae. The record is from RefSeq and is a predicted model, not a curated record.